Molecule: ribosomal RNA, 468 nt
Filed under: uncultured bacterium
Lineage: Bacteria
Description: partial 16S ribosomal RNA
Rfam family: Bacterial small subunit ribosomal RNA
Source: RNAcentral
GACGAACGCUGGCGGCGUGCUUAACACAUGCAAGUCGAACGGAAAGGCCCUGCUUUUGUGGGGUGCUCGAGUGGCGAACGGGUGAGUAACACGCGUGUAACCUGCCCUUGACUUUGGGAUAACUUCAGGAAACUGGGGCUAAUACCGGAUAGGAGCUCCCGCUGCACGGGGGGGGUUGGAAAGUUUCGGCGGUUGGGGAUGGACUCGCGGCUCAUCAGCCUGUUGGUGGGGUAGUGGCCUACCAAGGCUUUGACGGGUAGCCGGCCUGGGAGGGUGACCGGCCACAUUGCGACUGCGGUACGGCCCAGACUCCUACGGGAGGCAGCGGUGGGGAAUAUUGCACAAUGGGCGGAAGCCUGAUACGACAACGCCGCGUGCGGGAUGACGGCCUUCGGGUUGUGAACCGCUUUCGCCUGUGACGAAGCGUGAGUGACGGUAAUGGGUAAAGAAGCACCGGCUAACUACGUG